GGCAGUGUGGCAUAAUGGUGUGAGUGUUGGACUAUGACUCUGGAGACCAGGGUUCCAUUCCAAGCUCAGCCA
This 72-nucleotide transfer RNA is filed under the name Phrynosoma platyrhinos (Desert horned lizard). RNAcentral describes it as "tRNA-OTHER". The record is from RNAcentral. Lineage: Eukaryota; Metazoa; Chordata; Lepidosauria; Squamata; Phrynosomatidae.